ACCAAGACUCAAGUCACAGUCCGAGUGUCCUGGUGUGCUAGGGCACUUGCAGAGAAUCUGCUGGUCUUGAUUCACUGGUGGAGACAAUCGGUGCCCAGAUUAGAAACAUGC
This is a small nucleolar RNA of Cercocebus atys (sooty mangabey), 111 nucleotides long. NCBI's taxonomy places the organism in Eukaryota, Metazoa, Chordata, Mammalia, Primates, Cercopithecidae. The record is from Ensembl.